Molecule: ribosomal RNA, 397 nt
Filed under: uncultured bacterium
Lineage: Bacteria
Description: bacterial SSU rRNA
Rfam family: Bacterial small subunit ribosomal RNA
Source: RNAcentral
GAUGAACGCUGGCGGCGUGCCUAAUACAUGCAAGUCGAACGAGGUGCUUUUGUAGCAAUACGAGAGUAUCCUAGUGGCGAACGGGUGAGUAACGCGUGGAUGACCUGCCCCAAAGUGUGGGAUAACAGUCCGAAAGGAUUGCUAAUACCUCAUGUGGUUAUCGGUUUUAGAAAGCGAUAACUAAAGCAGCAAUGCGCUUUGGGAGGGAUCUGCGUCCCAUCAGCUAGUUGGUGAGGUAACGGCUCACCAAGGCGACGACGGGUAGGGGACCUGAGAGGGUGGCCCCCCCACAAUGGAACUGAAACACGGUCCAUACACCUACGGGUGGCAGCAGUAGGGAAUAUUGCUCAAUGGGCGAAAGCCUGAAGCAGCAACGCCGCGUGUGCGAUGAAGGCCU